AAGACAUGCAAGUCGAACGAACUUAAUCGAUUCUUUUAGAUUCGAAGCGGUUAGUGGCGGACUGGUGAGUAACACGUAAGCAACCUACCUGUUAGAGGGGAAUAACAGUGAGAAAUCACUGCUAAAACCGCAUAUGCCGUGAACAUCGCAUGAUGAAAACGGGAAAAGAGCAAUCUGCUAAUAGAUGGGCUUGCGUCUGAUUAGCUAGUUGGUGUGGUAAAGGCAUACCAAGGCGACGAUCAGUAGCCGGACUGAGAGGUUGAACGGCCACAUUGGGACUGAGAUACGGCCCAGACUCCUACGGGAGGCAGCAGUCGGGAAUAUUGCGCAAUGGAGGAAACUCUGACGCAGUGACGCCGCGUAUGGGAAGAAGGUUUUCGGAUUGUAAACCAUUUUAGACAAGGAAGAAACAAGACAGUACUUGUAGAAUAAGCUCCGGCUAACUACGUGCCAGCAGCCGCGGUAAUACGUAGGGAGCAAGCGUUAUCCGGAUUUAUUGGGUGUAAAGGGUGCGUAGACGGGAAGGUAAGUUAGUUGUGAAAUCCCUCGGCUCAACUGAGGAACUGCGACUAAAACUGCUUUUCUUGAGUGCUGGAGAGGAAAGUGGAAUUCCUAGUGUAGCGGUGAAAUGCGUAGAUAUUAGGAGGAACACCAGUGGCGAAGGCGACUUUCUGGACAGCAACUGACGUUGAGGCACGAAAGUGUGGGGAGCA
RNAcentral lists this ribosomal RNA (713 nucleotides) under uncultured Lachnospiraceae bacterium. RNAcentral describes it as "bacterial SSU rRNA". It matches the Rfam family "Bacterial small subunit ribosomal RNA", at positions 50 to 770 of the family's 1533-position model. The record is from RNAcentral. Lineage: Bacteria; Bacillati; Bacillota; Clostridia; Lachnospirales; Lachnospiraceae.